RNAcentral lists this ribosomal RNA (846 nucleotides) under uncultured archaeon. RNAcentral's name for it is "bacterial SSU rRNA". It matches the Rfam family "Archaeal small subunit ribosomal RNA", at positions 21 to 855 of the family's 1478-position model. The record is from RNAcentral.
CCUGACUGCUAUUGGAGUGGGACUAAGUCACGCUAGUCAAAGGUGCGGAAUGGAGCACCUGGCGUACGGCUCAGUAACACGUAGUCAACCUACCCUAAGGACGAGGACAACCACGGGAAACUGUGGCUAAUACUCGAUAAGAAAUUCGGCCUGGAACGGUGUCUUUCAAAAAACCGGCUCGCCGUGAGACACGGGCCUUAGGAUGGGGCUGCGGUCGAUUAUGCUAGAUGGCGGUGUAAAGGACCACCAUGGCUAUGAUCGGUAUGGGCGAUGGAAGUCGGAGCCCAGAGUCGGCUACUGAGACGAGGAGCCGAGCUUUACGAAGCUUAGCGGUCGCGAAAACUCGCCAAUGCACGAAAGUGUGAGUGGGCUACUCCAAGUGUCAUUCUUACGGAUGACUGUCGCUCAGUAUUACAAGCUGAGAAAGGAAGGAGAGGGCAAGGCUGGUGCCAGCCGCCGCGGUAAAACCAGCUCUUCGAGUGGUCAGGACGAAUAUUGGGUCUAAAGCGCUCGUAGCCGGACAAGUAGGUUCUUGGUUAAACCCGACAGCAUAACUGUUGGACUGCUGGGAAUACCGCUAGUCUUGGAAGCGGGAGAGGACAGAGGUAGUCAUGGGGCAGGGGUGAAAUCCAGUGAUCCCAUGGCGACCACCGAUGGCGAAGGCAUCUGUCUGGAACGUAUUCGACGGUGAGGGGCGAAAGCUAGGGGAGCGACCCGGAUUAGAUACCCGGUUAGUCCUAGCCGUAAACGAUGCGGACUAGGUGUUACACUGGCCAAGAGCCACUGUAGUGCCACAGUGAAGACGUUAAGUCCGCCACCUGGGGAGUACGGAUGCAAGUCUGAAAC